This 1179-nucleotide long non-coding RNA is filed under the name Felis catus (domestic cat). RNAcentral describes it as "lncRNA (ENSFCAG00000052634.1)". The record is from RNAcentral. Lineage: Eukaryota; Metazoa; Chordata; Mammalia; Carnivora; Felidae.
AAUGAUCGUUGGAACGAUGCCACCCUUCGGGUGCCUGCCCACCCUGUGCCAGCUCCCGGCAGACAGCUGCCAUUUCCUGAUCUCCCCACAAGUGUCAGGCGUAGGGGUUGUCCCCGCAUCACAAAUGAGGAAACUGAGGUUCAGACAGCCUUAGAAGCAUGUCAAGAAAUCUCAUCGAGGGGCGCCUGGGUGGCUCAGUCGGCUGGGCAUCCGACUUCGGCUCAGGUCGUGAUCUCACAGCUAGUAUGUUCGAGCCCCGCGUCGGGCUCUGGGCUGACAGCUCGGAGCCUGGAGGCUGCUUCGGAUUCUUUGUCUCUCCCUCUCUCUGCCCCUCCCCUGAUUGUGUUCUGUCUCUCUCUCUCUCUCAAAAAUAAACAUUUACAAAAAAUUCUUUUAAUAAAAAAAUUUACAAAACAGAAAGCUCAUCUGGCAGUGCAAAAGGACAUUAAAUCCCAGGCCUGGACCUGUUCCCGCAGCCCUGCUCCAGGAGUAGGUGGCCCCUGUAGCCCGGACACACGGGAAUAUGCCAGACGGUCUUUGCUCCCUUCUCUGAGAGUCAAUCAGGAAAAGACAGCUUGUCUCAGGCCUAGCCUGGGCCUCAGUCAGUGUACACCCGGUGUGUUCAUUUGUCCCUGGGUCUGUGUUCGCGUCAACGGGCUCCUGAGUCUCUCUCAAGCGUUAUCUGUGCCUUCCGUUUUCCUCAGAUUCUCAACAACUCGGGGAAGGACUGAACUGUACGUUUCUUGUUUCUGGUUCCACAGCUCCAGGCUCUGUGCUCCAGGCUCUGUACCCAGGGAACACUCGAUGAGUGUUAUUGACUGGCUGACUCAGGCCCCGUCUGCCCACAAGAGCCAUUUUGAGCAGCUUCGACUGAAAUACGGAUGGAGUCAGUUAAAGUCAAAUAAGCAGUCUGGUCGAUUUUCUUCUUCCUCCCCACCCCCGUCCCCAGUGCCGCCGGGAGACUGUGGGUUCCCUCCUUCACGGAGGAGGACAAGAGCCGGCGAAGCACCCCGCUUCCCCGAGAAAGGUCAGCUCAGGUCACAAUCUCGCGUGAGUUCGAGCCCCGCGUCGGGCUCUGGGCCGAUGGCUCAGAGCCUGGAGCCUGUUUCCGAUUCUGUGUCUCCCUCUCUCUCUGCCCCUCCCCCGUUCAUGCUCUGUCUCUCUCUGUCUCAAAAAUAA